Molecule: ribosomal RNA, 253 nt
Filed under: uncultured bacterium
Lineage: Bacteria
Description: partial 16S ribosomal RNA
Rfam family: Bacterial small subunit ribosomal RNA
Source: RNAcentral
UACGGGGGGAGCAAGCGUUGUUCGGAUUUACUGGGCGUAAAGGGUGCGUAGGCGGACAUUUAAGUCAGAUUUGAAAUACCCGAGCUUAACUUGGGUGCUGCAUUUGAAACUGGGUGUCUAGAGUGCAGGAGAGGUAAGUGGAAUUCCUAGUGUAGCGGUGAAAUGCGUAGAGAUUAGGAAGAACACCAGUGGCGAAGGCGACUUACUGGACUGUAACUGACGCUGAGGCAUGAAAGCGUGGGGAGCAAACAGG